GAUGAAGAACGUAGCGAAAUGCGAUAAGUAGUGUGAAUUGCAGAAUUCAGUGAAUCAUCGAAUCUUUGAACGCACAUUGCGCCCCUUGGUAUUCCAUGGGGCAUGCCUGUUCGAGCGUCAUUUGUACCUUCAAGCUCUGCUUGGUGUUGGGUGUUUGUCUCGCCUCUGCGUGUAGACUCGCCUUAAAACAAUUGGCAGCCGGCGUAUUGAUUUCGGAGCGCAGUACAUCUCGCGCUUUGCACUCAUAACGACGACGUCCAAAAGUACAUUUUUACACUCUUGGCCUCGGAUCAGGUAGGGAUACCCGCUGAACUUAAGCAUAUCAAAAGCGGAGGA
This 336-nucleotide unclassified non-coding RNA is filed under the name soil metagenome. RNAcentral's name for it is "partial contains 5.8S ribosomal RNA, internal transcribed spacer 2, and large subunit ribosomal RNA". The stretch from base 1 to 120 matches the Rfam family "5.8S ribosomal RNA", at positions 35 to 154 of the family's 154-position model. The record is from RNAcentral.